AAAGAAGAAGAAGAGAAAGCGCGACCUGAUCAGUGGAUUAACAUCGCAGUUAAUCUCCUGUGUAAGAAGUCAGCUCAAACUGGAAAGUUUGAACACUGUAAAAAGUGGAGUACGGAGUGAAAAGGAUAGUCCCCAGGGACGCUGAUGGCAGCUGUUCGCAGGAGAGUGAAAAGUCUUAAGACUCAUUCCAGGAACUCCAUCAGGCCUGGUAUAGUGGUGAUUGACAUAUUUGUCACGAUGUAAGGUGUGACACAAGGACAUAAACACGGAUUCCUGUUCAAAUAAAUUUUCCUCCCAGAUUUUCCCUUCAGGAAAUUUAUUUAUUUAUUUAUUUAUUAUUUUAUUUUUUUUCUUCUUCUUCUUCCAUCAGAGAAACCAUUAUUUAUUUAUUUAUUUAUUUAUUUUUUUUUUUUUUUUUUUUUACGUUUGUGCUCUUGGACUCAUUGUGCUUGUGAAAGGACAAUAAGCACUACCAGCAUAUAUAUAUAUAUAUAUAAUUGAUUUUUUGACAGUUCACAUUUAGACUGCAAUUUCUCCUUUAAGAUUCUUAAAGAAUUGUAUUUGUUUGGGGUUUUGUGCAUGUUAUGUUGUGAAAGGUCAAACAUUGAGACUACAUUGAGGUAAUGUCAAUUUAUUUCUUUAUAUUGUUCUGAUUUUUUUCUUUCUCUUUCUCUGUGCUCCAGUUCAUACUUUUAAAGUUGAGCUCUUGAAAACAAAUUGUUAUCAGACCUUGGGAAAAAAAGAACUCUGAAAUAUUUAACUGUCUUGAGAAUUUCUUUUCAGAGCAGGGUUACAUUUACAUUUAAAUAAAACAUCAUUAUAAUUUAUUGUACAUUUUUGCUUUCUUUAAGGUUAUCAACCUAUCAAACCCAAAUGAACUAUUUGUCUUCCUGACUAACAAACAAACAGAAUGUCAGUCAAAUGAACAAAAGUCUGAUUAUGUUGACGAAAGAAUGAAACCUGGAAACUAAAAUCCUGAAAAUCUUCAAUAAAAUUGGGGAAAAGAA
This is a long non-coding RNA of Myxocyprinus asiaticus (Chinese sucker), 1007 nucleotides long. RefSeq lists it as uncharacterized. The transcript is spliced from 2 exons. NCBI's taxonomy places the organism in Eukaryota, Metazoa, Chordata, Actinopteri, Cypriniformes, Catostomidae. The record is from RefSeq and is a predicted model, not a curated record.